Silurus meridionalis is the source of this 1985-nucleotide RNA transcript. It is a transcript of the gene named ADP-ribosylation factor-like protein 16, with no coding region annotated. NCBI's taxonomy places the organism in Eukaryota, Metazoa, Chordata, Actinopteri, Siluriformes, Siluridae. The transcript is spliced from 6 exons. The record is from RefSeq and is a predicted model, not a curated record.
GAAAUAGGAUUAGACGUUGUCAUGGUAACGUAACCACCAGCUGCUUCUUUAGCCAUAAACCCCGCUAGCAAGUUAGCUAUUUUAUUUCUUUAUUUAACAUUUUUUUUAACAGUACAUUUUGUUUGUUUAUAAAUAAUUACCCAAUAUUUAUGUGUUUGUUACUUGGUGCGACCGGCGUCGGAAAAACUCUGCUCCUGAAACGUCUGCAAAAGCUGGGUCAGAAGGGUGAACCUGCAGAUGUAGGAGAACCUCCAGCUACCCUGCCCACGGUGGGCACCAACCUGACUGAUUUGACCCUGAGGAAGAGAAGAGUGACCGUGAGAGAGCUAGGAGGCUGCAUGGGUCCCAUCUGGCCCAGCUACUUUAGGGACUGCACAUCUGUGAUUUUUAUGAUAGACUCAGCUAACAUCACACAGAUUUCCUCCUCCUGCAUCCAGCUGCUGGGUGUUCUCUCAGCUACACCACUCCGGUCCGCCUCUGUGCUCGUGCUGUUUAACAAGAGUGACCUUCCCUGUAUCAUGUCCCUAGAGGAAAUAAAAUCACUCUUCAGGAUAGAUGACAUCAUUGCCUCUGCUCCCCAGUCGAUCACAGUUUUGGAGCUCAGUGCUCGCUCUGGAAAGGGCCUUCAGGAAGUGCUCAACUGGCUGGACUCGACUCAACCUGACUGACCUGAAUGAUAUGAAGAUCUGAUCAUGGAAGAUAUUGACACAUAGAGCCUAACAGUACAUAAUAAUGCAAACAUCAGUGCUAGGAUCACAACCUGGUCAGCUUCAUCAAACUGGGCUAAAAAUGCAACGGAGAUGAUAAAAUCAGCUCAACUGUUACAUAAGUUCACACUUUUGUGGUCGAUGAUUUGAUAUGAAAAGGCAAAUUUCAGUCUCGCUAUGGAAGCGGUAAUGAUACUUGUCAGUUUUUUAGAAAUUUUCACAUCUGCUCUUUAGCAUGAAAAAAAAAUUCUUGACAUCCUUUGUAAAUGCCCGGUCAUGGCUGCGGUGGUAUAAAUGAUGCUACGAGUUUGUGUAUAAUUUAUAAAAUGCAAAAAAGUGUAAUUAGAAUUCAUCACAGGCGGGUGCAAACGGUUAAAGUACUUGUGCGAGUGGAGAUAAAACACACUUCUGUGCAUCCCAAAAGUGAUGAGAUUGAGGAAAUGUCUCUGGGUCUUCUAAUUCAAGCGAAGAGAACAUUGUAUGACACUUUAUCCAAAGAUGUCCUACAGAAUUGUAUGCCUCCAACUUUUGUCAGAGCACCAAAUAUGUCUGGAAAAGUUUGGUGUCCCAAUACUUUUGUCGAUAUAGCGAGAUGCAUUUUCAUUCCUAUAUUUGGAGCAGCAGCUGAGAGCCAUGUCUGAUUUGAGGGAACAGGACUGGGGGUGGUCUGAGGAGCAUCCCACGGGUCAGGAGGAUGUGACCGAUGGUCCCAAGGUUGAGAAUGAAUACUGGAAGGUCCUGGACAGAAGCUGCUUGCACCUCGGGCUGAGGAGCUUUGUUCUGUUUAAAAAUAUGGCAAUGUCAUACUGCAGUAGCACAAAUUACCACUUUCCAAGUUUGUAGAAUUUAAGGGUUAUAUUUAUAUUAAGUUUGUAAUCUGGCGUACCAGUGUAGAUUUAUUUAUUACUAGAGACUCAAAGCACUUUUGUACGUUGCUCUGGAAAAGGGCGUCUGCUAAAUGCAGCCAAUGUAAAUGUAAAUGCAGUAGUUUUAUGGUUUCUAAAAGGUUUAAUAAUGGCAACUGCUGGAGGAUCAGAAGUUCAGCCCAACACACCUUGUUCACUCUGUGAUUUCAAAAAGAGAUUAAUGAAGGUAUGGUCAUUUCAGAUUAUGGUUUUCAUAACGUUUCUCAAGAUUAUACAAUUAUUCUACAAAAUAGUGCACCAUUUGUAAAGAGGGGACAACAGUAGAUAUUUGUAUUUACUGUACAUAUGUUUUUCUCCUGGUAAAUUGAUACUUAUUUGAAAUGAUUAAAUAAAGGGAUUGGUUAUCAUCUGU